UUGUCCACAAACUGACCCUUGGAGAUGCCUUUUUAUUAAUCUUCUGCGAUUUUUUAUUGGUUUCCGAAGAAGCAGUAACAGUGACCGGUGACUUUGCGACGAUCGGUUUUGUAUUGUUCACGAAUGGCGGUGAUGUGCGAGUUGACGGUUUACUAUCUGUAGCAGCUGAAAUAACCGACCGCGAUGAAAUGUUAUUAGCAAAACUCAUGGAAGGAACAGCAGUAUCAGAAACGGUGGAAAUCUUAGGCUGGGGCUGUUGAUUGUCAACAACGACUUUGGUACUCUCAUUUGCUACAGCAUCAUCAUUUUCUUGGUUACCCGAUUCAUUAUCGGAAGAGUCAUUGAUUAAAGGAAGCUUCGAGAUAUGCUUAACAUUAGGAUAACUUUCCUCAGAUGCAUUCACAUUUUCAGGUAUCUGUUCUGGAGAAUCUUCUUUCGGGACUGCAGGAGUAAAAAUAGCAACUUGGUCAGUUAACCCAACAUCAGAAAAACAAUUGGGUAUGUCGAGAGAAUUGAUUUUAAGUAGUACCUCUGGCCAGUGAAUAAUCAGUCCCUCUACAAUCUUGGCUUCAACUCUAGCCUUUUCGGUUUCAAAUCUCAUAAGGUCAUUCACAUUUCCAGAAGGACAAGAUUUCGAAAGAUCAGUAGAAGAGUUACCCAACAAUAAAGGACCAAAAAUAAUACCAAGG
Molecule: non-coding RNA, 689 nt
Organism: Schizosaccharomyces pombe (fission yeast)
Lineage: Eukaryota; Fungi; Ascomycota; Schizosaccharomycetes; Schizosaccharomycetales; Schizosaccharomycetaceae
Source: the annotation of a GenBank genome assembly